CUACGGGUCGCUCCAGUGGGGAAUAUUGGACAAUGGGGGAAACCCUGAUCCAGCAAUGCCGCGUGUGUGAAGAAGGCCUGCGGGUUGUAAAGCACUUUCGGUUGGGAGGACUGCUUCUAGCACUAAUAUUGUUGGAAGUUGACGUUACCUUCAGAAGAAGCACCGGCUAACUCCGUGCCAGCAGCCGCGGUAAUACGGAGGGCGCAAGCGUUAAUCGGAAUUACUGGGCGUAAAGCGCGCGUAGGCGGCUAGAUCAGUCGGGUGUGAAAGCCCCGGGCUUAACCUGGGAACUGCAUCCGAUACUGGCUAGCUUGAGUACAGGAGAGGAGAGUGGAAUUCCACAUGUAGCGGUGAAAUGCGUAGAUAUGUGGAGGAACACCAAUGGCGAAGGCAGCUCUCUGGCCUGAUACUGACGCUGAGGUGCGAAAGCGUGGGGAGCAAACAGGAUUAGAUACCCGCGUAGUC
This 465-nucleotide ribosomal RNA is filed under the name uncultured bacterium. RNAcentral's name for it is "partial 16S ribosomal RNA". It matches the Rfam family "Bacterial small subunit ribosomal RNA", at positions 339 to 795 of the family's 1533-position model. The record is from RNAcentral.